UCCAGCGGUAGUCAUCUGUCCAGCGCUUUCCAUGCCUGUGACUGUGUUACACCGCUGGGAGAUAAGGUCACUGCUGCCUGAUGCUGAUGUGCUUUGUUGCCGUUCUGGUGACGUCACAUUUGCCUUUAGCAGUGCUGUGAUUCCUCGAGAGUGCGCCUUGUAAGUACUUCUAUUCGGUGCUAGUCUGGAAUUACACAGU
Bufo bufo (common toad) is the source of this 199-nucleotide small nucleolar RNA. RefSeq annotates it as small nucleolar RNA SNORA74. The transcript has a single exon. The record is from RefSeq and is a predicted model, not a curated record. NCBI's taxonomy places the organism in Eukaryota, Metazoa, Chordata, Amphibia, Anura, Bufonidae.